Molecule: ribosomal RNA, 494 nt
Filed under: uncultured bacterium
Lineage: Bacteria
Description: partial 16S ribosomal RNA
Rfam family: Bacterial small subunit ribosomal RNA
Source: RNAcentral
GACGAACGCUGGCGGCGUGCUUAACACAUGCAAGUCGAACGGUGAAGCGCCUUCCUUUUUGGUGGGUGUGGAUGAGUGGCGAACGGGUGAGUAACACGUGAGUAACCUGCCCCCUUCUUCUGGAUAACCGCAUGAAAGUGUGGCUAAUACGGGAUAUUCUGGGUCUGUCGCAUGAUGGGUCUGGGAAAGAUAUUGUUUCGGUGGGGGAUGGGCUCGCGGCCUAUCAGCUUGUUGGUGGGGUGAUGGCCUACCAAGGCGGUGACGGGUAGCCGGCCUGAGAGGGUGGACGGUCACACUGGGACUGAGACACGGCCCAGACUCCUACGGGAGGCAGCAGUGGGGAAUAUUGCACAAUGGGCGCAAGCCUGAUGCAGCGACGCCGCGUGAGGGAUGGAGGCCUGCGGGUUGUGAACCUCUUUCGCCAGUGAAGCAGGCCUGCCUCAUUUGUGGGUGGGUUGACGGUAGCUGGAGAAGAAGCGCCGGCUAACUACGUG